Molecule: ribosomal RNA, 292 nt
Filed under: uncultured prokaryote
Description: partial 16S ribosomal RNA
Rfam family: Bacterial small subunit ribosomal RNA
Source: RNAcentral
GUGCCAGCCGCCGCGGUAAUACGUAGGUGGCAAGCGUUAUCCGGAAUUAUUGGGCGUAAAGCGCGCGUAGGCGGUUUUUUAAGUCUGAUGUGAAAGCCCACGGCUCAACCGUGGAGGGUCAUUGGAAACUGGGAAACUUGAGUGCAGAAGAGGAAAGUGGAAUUCCAUGUGUAGCGGUGAAAUGCGCAGAGAUAUGGAGGAACACCCGUGGCGAAGGCGACUUUCUGGUCUGUAACUGACGCUGAUGUGCGAAAGCGUGGGGAUCAAACAGGAUUAGAAACCCCCGUAGUCC